UUCAACUGAUUCACAACAGAAUUUACUAUUCCUUUGAAGUAAUUUUGAACUUACUUGCUAACACCAGCCAACAGCAAUGUCUUCAACUAAAGGUGGACCCCAUGGACAUCAUGGACAUCAUGGGCAUCAUGGACACCAUGAUCAGAAAUCCCAGGACCCAUGCAAACCAGUGCAGCAAUGUCAAGACCAAACACCAAAGUGCCCACCACCUGUGCAACAAUGUCAGGACCAAGCACCAAAGUGCCAUAAGGCUGAUCCAUGCGCCCCCUGCCCUCCUGAGCCAUGCCAGACCCAACAACAAGGAUGUAAAAAAUAAAAUCGACAUGAAAGACUCAAAUGAAGCAAUACCAAGCACACGAGUGAUUAAAAAUGUAAUGUUGUCUGUGUCUUGAUGUUCUGUGUAAGUCUGCAUAUUCAAUAAACUUAGCAAAAAACAUAAAAAAAA
Long non-coding RNA from Rana temporaria (common frog), 445 nucleotides. RefSeq lists it as uncharacterized. The record is from RefSeq and is a predicted model, not a curated record. NCBI's taxonomy places the organism in Eukaryota, Metazoa, Chordata, Amphibia, Anura, Ranidae. The transcript is spliced from 4 exons.